This 561-nucleotide ribosomal RNA is filed under the name Chaetomium globosum. RNAcentral's name for it is "eukaryotic LSU rRNA". The stretch from base 199 to 352 matches the Rfam family "5.8S ribosomal RNA". Lineage: Eukaryota; Fungi; Ascomycota; Sordariomycetes; Sordariales; Chaetomiaceae. The record is from RNAcentral.
GUGAACCAGCGGAGGGAUCAUUACAGAGUUGCAAAACUCCCUAAACCAUUGUGAACGUUACCUAUACCGUUGCUUCGGCGGGCGGCCCCGGGGUUUACCCCCCGGGCGCCCCUGGGCCCCACCGCGGGCGCCCGCCGGAGGUCACCAAACUCUUGAUAAUUUAUGGCCUCUCUGAGUCUUCUGUACUGAAUAAGUCAAAACUUUCAACAACGGAUCUCUUGGUUCUGGCAUCGAUGAAGAACGCAGCGAAAUGCGAUAAGUAAUGUGAAUUGCAGAAUUCAGUGAAUCAUCGAAUCUUUGAACGCACAUUGCGCCCGCCAGCAUUCUGGCGGGCAUGCCUGUUCGAGCGUCAUUUCAACCAUCAAGCCCCCGGGCUUGUGUUGGGGACCUGCGGCUGCCGCAGGCCCUGAAAAGCAGUGGCGGGCUCGCUGUCGCACCGAGCGUAGUAGCAUACAUCUCGCUCUGGUCGCGCCGCGGGUUCCGGCCGUUAAACCACCUUUUAACCCAAGGUUGACCUCGGAUCAGGUAGGAAGACCCGCUGAACUUAAGCAUAUCAAUAAG